Molecule: ribosomal RNA, 292 nt
Filed under: uncultured prokaryote
Description: partial 16S ribosomal RNA
Rfam family: Bacterial small subunit ribosomal RNA
Source: RNAcentral
GUGCCAGCCGCCGCGGUAAUACGGAGGAUCCAAGCGUUAUCCGGAAUCAUUGGGUUUAAAGGGUCCGUAGGCGGCUAUAUAAGUCAGCGGUGAAAGUUUGCAGCUUAACUGUAAAAUUGCCGUUGAUACUGUAUGGCUUGAAUUUUUGUGAAGUAACUAGAAUAUGUAGUGUAGCGGUGAAAUGCUUAGAUAUUACAUGGAAUACCAAUUGCGAAGGCAGGUUACUAACAAACGAUUGACGCUGAUGGACGAAAGCGUGGGUAGCGAACAGGAUUAGAAACCCCCGUAGUCC